AGUGCAGCGCAGGGACCUGAGGAUCUCUGGACCACCGCCCCUCUUGGAUGCACCCUCUUAGCUGCCUCCGCCCAGGGUACCCCUUCCCUCCUGGCCCGCAUGCCUCUUAUUGUUGCGAGGCCUCGGGUCCCCUCCUUCCGCCCACCUUCUGGGGCUCGAAAUGAAGUAGCUUGGCCUCCCACACAAGUUAGGCAAGCGGGUGGGCCCUCUGAGCCCAGCCGGGAGGCGCCCCGCAGGGCUGGAGUGGUCACCCCGGGCACAGAACCCAGGAGAGUAAGCUAAGGGCUGUGGGAGGCACCAGUCAACUGCUCCCGGAGGCCCCAAGACUGAUCCUAGAUUGCCCCCCCCCCCGCUGCAGAGGGGAAGCCCGCUGCUGUGAGCCUGCUCCCAGGGAAGCGCCCUGGAGGUCCCAACCCAGUCCGGUCGGGUUUUCAUCUCUCGUCUGGUUCGCCUCCUCUCCCCCUGCCCUCCCUUUCCCCCAAAUAAAUAAAUAUCUCCAAGGGCAGCGAACUCAGCAGGGCGCCGGACCCUACGCCUGGGCGAUAGAUGAACUUCCUGGCGCAUCAAAACUCUGCUCCAGUCCUCCCCGCGGAGCUCAGGAUAUGGGGCGCGCUUGCUUCUCUUCUGAAAAGGAAACGUAGCUCUUCCAAAAAUAUAAAUCAGCUCUGACGUCCAAAUAUUUCUUUUGUCCUCCAGCAUCCUCUGUGGGGAUAAAUAAAACGUGCUCGGCGCCCAGAGGCCGACUUGGGACCUCGGGGCGCCCAGACGCCGCCUCAGAAGAGCUGCCUUUGGGGAGUCCCCCCAUCUCCUAUUCUCUCUCUGCCCCCGGCCUGGCGAUGGGUCCCAGUCCGGGUAUGAGGCCUGAUACUCGGCCGCAGAGAAAGACAUGGAGGGCAAAACCCCAGAGCCUUGGAGGAGAAAAGCUCCCGAGGUCUGUCCAAGUAGGAAAGGAGUGCUUGCUGGAGAUAAGACAAGAGGAGGGCAGAAAAGCUCAGGUCUAGCAUCUUAGAAGAGUUUGGAUCCCAAAGCUGCCUCUCCAGGUCCACUUUGCCUCCAGGGUUUUUACUCCUCCCUUGGAGCAUGUGCCUACAGCUUUCCUCAUGGGGCACCCAAGGGACCCCCACCUCUAUUCCUGGAGUAUCCAUACGUGGUUGGGGCUGAGGGGGCCGAGGUAGGGCAUCUCUGAGUGCUGUUGCUGCUGGAGAAGCCAGGGAGCCAGUUCAGGGCUUGGUCCUCAAGGGUCUCCUAUGGUGAGCUCCCGAGGAUGGCUUUGAGCCCAGUCAUACUUAGCCACCCUUCAACCCCCAAGGAUUUCCUCUCUAGUUGGGAUAGAAUUCUGGUUGGGGCUUGGAAAUCUACACUAGGUUAAAAUCACAGGCAACAGGAUGGUGGCGAAGCUAGCUAGUGGGAGUUCUUCAGGGAGAUGAAAUAAGGGUGAAAUAUUCCUAGUGGAGGGAGUUGGCCUGAAGGUGUGUCCAGCAUCUCCAUUCUCCUUCUGGUUUCCUUGUCACCAAUGGCCUUGGCAACCCAACAGUCCUUCAACCCACCUGUCCCUCUUUCUCCAAUAAAUCACCCAUAUCCACACUGCCAGCCUGAAAGACUUCCCUAAGUUAGUGGGUUCCAGCAAGAAGUCUCCACCUGCCCAGGGUCCGCUCACUCACCUCUCAUGCCCUAUCACCCUGGCCAUGAGGUUCUAUUCCAGACCUGGGACUUGGUGGGGGUGCUGUUCAGCUGGCCACCCCCCUCUCUUCAGGGGGGUCUUUAUUGAUGAGCUGCCUCAAGAACCCCAGCCCAGAUCUUCCCAGAGGGUUUAGACAAUCCAUCACCCACCACUUCAAGAAUGCUUCCUCCCUUUCAAACACAAUCCUUGCACACCAGACAGGCUGCGGUGGGGAGGGGAGCGCACUUGAAAAGAGAACAGCUAUAUAAUCAACGUCAAAGCAGUCCCCCAACCUUUCGGAAACAGGGAUUUGGGCCAAAAAUCUCUCCAAAUGAUUUAGGAGGCCUCCCUCGCCCUCGUCCCCACCUUCCACUUGACUCUUGCCUGUUUCUGCAGUCCUGCGGCCAGCACGGCCAACGCACAACCCUACGCUGUGUUGAAAGUCAACCCUGAAGGCUCUUCCAUGGGUAGUUUACAUUUAGCUAGAGAAAGCGUUUUUCUUUUGGGGGUUCAGGGAGGGAUCAGAAUUUCGGCCUCGCCAUCAUGCUCUCAAGGCCUGGUCACGGUAUCCUCAUGGAGAGGAAUUGAAUUGGGAAGGCCAGGUGUGGCCCUUUGGAGUUGUCAAAUAAGUGUCACCUUCCUUUCUUUUAGAGUCCGCGGAUUUUUGCGGUCUCAGGAGCUGCGCCUCCCCUUAGCCUUAGGCGCCAGGAAUUCCUUCAGCUUCCGCUGGGUGGCGCCAGGCUCUCGGAAAUCGCUGCCCGCGGGGCAGCCCAGGCGCGGUUCAACGCCACGGGCUCCCUUCCACCUGCUCUGGGCUCCCAACACCCAUGGACCGUGUUCCCCGAGGCCCCGCGGCCCAGGCCCCAUCCCCUGAGGCAAGCCAGUGUUUUGCCUUCAGGUGGACACAUAAUUCCAAGUACUGUCGCGCAUCUCGUACUCCAUUGGCCAUUGUAGGGCAUAUUCGGCUUUACCCCUCCGUUUCCACCUCCAGUGGAAAAUGAGCCAGGCACUAGACACUCCUGUAUUGGAACGCGUGCUCUCCGAGGCACACCAGGCUUCGCAAGGCACACCAGGCCUUGCGAAGAAAUGCAGAAUCAGUUCAGGUAUUUUGAUUCCCGGCAGCAAGGCGCAGGCGCUGUGUCUUCAUUUUUCAACCUGGAGCUCCUGGAACUCUCUUGAGGUCUAGUAGAAAACGAAUGAACAAAGGAAACGUCAAGCAUCUGGAGGAUGCGGGUUCGGGUUGGUCCUGCAGCGAGUAGCCGGAAAGGCGAGUUCUGUACCUCAGUGUGCUCACACGUGAAGCUGCAUCUGACCUCCUUGUGUCUGCCGUGUCAAGAAGACAACUAUUUGCGUUCAUAAUUAUCUCUCAUUUUUUAACUAAAGAAAACCCUUGCGAUUCCCUAAACUUGUGCUGAUGAAAGUUUGCAAAAUAAAAGGGGACUUGAGGGGUCUUUUGGGGGCGGGCUGGAUCCAAACCGGGGGAUAAUUUGCAGAUAGGGUAGGCUCCACCAGGGGCUGUGAACUUGACACUCAGGUAUCACCCGCUCGCCUCUCUUCUGUGGUUGGUGUCUAAUACUUAACUGGAUUUCCUCUUUUCUGAGACAAUAAGUUAUUCUCCAUAGCAACUGACUUAAAAAAAAAAAAACUCUAAAAAUUAGCUUUAAUAGCGUAAAAUUUACAUACAAACAUCCAUUUCUAAUGAAGAGGUUUUUUAUAGGUUGUCUUUUGUAUUUGUUAUUGUAAAAGUUCCCUAGUACAUAGUGGAGAUGCCAUGCAAUAAGCCCCCACACACCCAUUACCUGAAUGGAACAAUUACCAAGGUUUUGCCACAUUUACUUUAUUAAUCUCUUCUCAUUCAUUUCUUGCUAAAAAAAAUUUUAAAGCAAAUCUAGACACUAGGUUUAAAAAAAUAUCUUACUACUUUUCACACUUUUCAGGUCUAUUUCUCUCAUACCUAAGAUUGUAUUUUGAUAAGCAUAACCUUCCCUUAGAGAAGUUCAAACUUACAGGGGACACUUUGUUUUUGGAUGUGAAUUUUACUGAGAGAAUUCUCCAUCCUGGUGCUUCCCCUCCCCUAAGUGACUUUAAGCCCUGAAUUUGUUGGCUUUCCUUGGGCUGCUGAAUCCUGGGAGAGGUUGACAAACUUUCCCUCCACCACUUUCAAUGGAGGCUGGGUGCAUGCUGCUAUUGUAAUCUGUGAAAAGGGAUAUUCAGGUUCCUUCCAUUGGCAGAGUCAACCCCAUUCUGCCUUCCAUACACACAUGCCAGAUCAUUCAUACAGAAUGUGUGGCAAGAUCAUAUGUCCUUUGAAAAUAUCUAUAAAUAUGAAUAUGGAUGUAUGCUUAUUCAUGGGGACUGUUCAGUAAUUUUCAAAUUGUUUAUUCAUACAGUCGCUAGCCUAGAGGACUUUUCAUAUUGUUUGAAAGUGAUUGUGGCAAAAUUUAGGGAGAGGCAACCCUCUCCCUAAUCCCACCACCAAAUCACAUCAUGACUCUACACAUACUUCACAAACAUUUGUUCAUUGACUGUCUGAUUUUCCUACUCCCUGAACAAUACAUGUUACCAUUCUUAGCUUUUCCUUCACCCUCAAUGGAACCUUCAGCAAAUGAAGAGCUAUGUGGUAGUUGUAGGUAAUCUACCAUGAACUGCUACCAUAUACCACCAUGUUCAUAGUUGCACCUGCUCCCUGUGAUUUUGGGUAAAUCACUUAAUGUUUCUAAGCUUCAGUUUCUAUUAUUUUUUGUAAGAUGGGAAUAAUAAAAUUAAAAUAAUAAUGUCCCUUCCCACGGUGACUAUAAAAAUGAAAUAAUGGUUGUAAAAAGCAUUAACAUUCUGACAUAUACACAUUUAUGCUGUUAUUUUUGGCCCAGUCCGGUAAAAGCACUGUUUAGUUUUAGGCACCCCAUAAGUUUCUUGCGUACUUGGGAUCAUUCCUUCCCUGAGCAAUCUCUAGAACAAGCAUUUGGUUUAGUCCUUAAUAAGGAAAAGAUACAAUUGGUGCAAUGUGUACAAAUUUAAGCCCGCUUCUUCAGGCUGGGGUGCCAGCUCUCCUGGAUGUUUCUGGACUGUGGCUGUGGCUCCAACGCAAAGGGAGAAUCUAGGGAAGGAAAGAGAGACGUUUCCUUUGGUGGGGUCAUUGCGGCUCUUGAAUAUAUCUGACUCUUUCGCAGCACCCGGGCGGAGCAGACACCCUCGCAACGCCGCGCGGCAGGCUGCCGAGCCGAAGAACCCUCGCUGUCUACAUGCACCACCGCAGCCGGAGGAACCCUGGACAGCCGACAAUCAUGGAACUAUUUCGAGGCCAAUAUUUGAUUGAUGUCUGGACUUUGGGUGUUCCUGCAUAUGAAGAUUGGAGUUGGCAGUGUAGAGUGGAAAAUUAGAUGUUUAUUAAAGGACAGCAGAAAAGACUUCUCCCGGAGGAAGAAGGGGACCUGAGGUGGAAUCCGUUGAAGGGCGAGAGAACACUUGGCUGAUCUUCGAAGGAGUUAAGGAGCAGAUAGCAGGAAAUUAUAGAGAAAAAUGGAAAACAGAUUCUUUGGUGAAAGUGCAUAAUCUUGGAGAAUAUCAUGUCAAGGUUGUAAAAACUAUCCAUGUGCUGCUGUUUCCUAUUCUUCACCCCCGGCCCAGAUCUUUCCUGAACUUCAGGCUUGAAUAUGCAACUGCUUCCCUGAUGGGCUUCAUUUGAGUGUCCUUCCUGCAACUUAAAAUCCGUGUGUUCCAGACCCAACUCUGCGCUGGGCUGAAGGCCAUGGCUGACUCCAAUGGUGCCUGUGGGCAAAUUGGAAAAAAUGCACACUUUUCUCAAAAUACUUUACUCUCCUUGGACAAAAUUUAUUGUAAUUGAUGCCAAAAUUAUUAUGACUCUGAUGUCAAGGGCACUCCCUUUAUUUGUGCAUGACAAGAAAGUCUUGAAUUGCUGCACAUAGACAUGCGCAUGCACACACAUGCAAAAGCAAAGUGGCGCCUCCUUGACUCCAUGACUGUGGGAAUGGCCUCCUUGCCUACCAGUGUCCUUCUCCUGACCUUCACUUCUAGUCAUCUCCAAGUCCUGGGGAUGCACCUUCAAAACUUGUCAAAACCUGUUUAUUCUCCAUCCCUGCUGUGGCUUAUUCAGACCAUCUUGACUCACUUGUGUUGUUGCAACAGCCUCUAAUGUUGCCUAUAUGGGGUCCUCUCCUUUCUGUUCUUCCUGGAGUAGAUUUAUCCUUAUUAGCAAAACCAACUGCUAUCUGCUAAAAGCACUUCAGUGACUCCCCAUUGUUCUCAGAGUACAGAGCAGGAUCCUUUAUGAUCUUGCUGACAUUUACCUCUCUGCUUUGCCUUCUUUCCCACAACCAUAGGUUCUGCAGUUCAUGAAUGCAGACAGUUUGCAAUUCCCCAAAUGUGCAUGCUCUCUCUUGGCUUUGUGCCGGUGCACAUACCGUUCCCUUCACCUAGAAGCUUCCUUUCCACUCCCUGCUCCUAACUCCAGCUUAUUCAUGGCUCAGGUUUCAGUGUAAAUACCACAGUAUCCAGAAAAUUUUCUCUACAUCCUUGGAGCCUGGGAGCAAUGCACCUCUGGAUGCCCACAUCAUUUCGAGGUUCAUCUCCAUGAUGGUCCCACACCUGACACGGUGCUUACCUGUUUACAGGGAGGUCUGCAGGGUGGAUUCUGUUUUGGCCUUCCUUUUUUUUUUUCUGUUCAAUCAUGUCUAGAAUGUGAUAAGGUGCUCAAAAAGGUUUGCAACUGAACAGAGGUACAGAGAAAAAUUUCUUACCCUCAGAUUUCCUGUUAUUCAAUUAAACCGGAACUUCCUUACUUCAUUGAAAAAAUGUGUGUAUAAGCCAAAAUGCCAUAGAUAUGAAAGAAAGAUAUGAUAUCUAUUAUUAAAUUACUAAGGAAAUCUAAAAACUCAAUUGUUAAAAAAAACAACAAAUAAUCUGAAUUAAAAAUGGACGAAGGACUGAAUAGACAUUUCUUAAUAGAAGACAAAUAAAUUGCCAACAGGAGCCAGGCAUGGUGGCUCAUGCCUGUAAUCCCAGCUAACCUGGGGGUGGGGUCGA
Molecule: non-coding RNA, 6703 nt
Organism: Ictidomys tridecemlineatus (thirteen-lined ground squirrel)
Lineage: Eukaryota; Metazoa; Chordata; Mammalia; Rodentia; Sciuridae
Source: RefSeq, a predicted model, not a curated record